GGGGCAUUAGCUCAUCCGGCUAGAGCGUUAGACUGGCAGUCUAGAGGUGAUCGGUUCGAGUCCGAUAUGCUCCA
RNAcentral lists this transfer RNA (74 nucleotides) under Prevotella sp. RNAcentral describes it as "tRNA-Ala". It matches the Rfam family "tRNA". From Rfam's summary of the family: Transfer RNA (tRNA) molecules are approximately 80 nucleotides in length. Their secondary structure includes four short double-helical elements and three loops (D, anti-codon, and T loops). Further hydrogen bonds mediate the characteristic L-shaped molecular structure. tRNAs have two regions of fundamental functional importance: the anti-codon, which is responsible for specific mRNA codon recognition, and the 3' end, to which the tRNAs corresponding amino acid is attached (by aminoacyl-tRNA synthetases). tRNAs cope with the degeneracy of the genetic code in two manners: having more than one tRNA (with a specific anti-codon) for a particular amino acid; and 'wobble' base-pairing, i.e. permitting non-standard base-pairing at the 3rd anti-codon position. Lineage: Bacteria; Pseudomonadati; Bacteroidota; Bacteroidia; Bacteroidales; Prevotellaceae. The record is from RNAcentral.